RNAcentral lists this ribosomal RNA (253 nucleotides) under uncultured bacterium. RNAcentral's name for it is "partial 16S ribosomal RNA". It matches the Rfam family "Bacterial small subunit ribosomal RNA", at positions 524 to 776 of the family's 1533-position model. The record is from RNAcentral.
UACGUAGGGUGCAAGCGUUGUCCGGAAUUAUUGGGCGUAAAGAGCUCGUAGGCGGCUUGUCGCGUCGACUGUGAAAUCCCGCGGCUCAACUGCGGGUCUGCAGUCGAUACGGGCAGGCUAGAGUUCGGUAGGGGAGACUGGAAUUCCUGGUGUAGCGGUGAAAUGCGCAGAUAUCAGGAGGAACACCGAUGGCGAAGGCAGGUCUCUGGGCCGAUACUGACGCUGAGGAGCGAAAGCAUGGGGAGCGAACAGG